AGAGUUUGAUCAUGGCUCAGAGCGAACGCUGGCGGCAGGCUUAACACAUGCAAGUCGAGCGGGCGUAGCAAUACGUCAGCGGCAGACGGGUGAGUAACGCGUGGGAACGUACCUUUUGGUUCGGAACAACACAGGGAAACUUGUGCUAAUACCGGAUAAGCCCUUACGGGGAAAGAUUUAUCGCCGAAAGAUCGGCCCGCGUCUGAUUAGCUAGUUGGUGAGGUAACGGCUCACCAAGGCGACGAUCAGUAGCUGGUCUGAGAGGAUGAUCAGCCACAUUGGGACUGAGACACGGCCCAAACUCCUACGGGAGGCAGCAGUGGGGAAUAUUGGACAAUGGGCGCAAGCCUGAUCCAGCCAUGGCCGCGUGAGUGAUGAAGGCCCUAGGGUUGUAAAGCUCUUUUGUGCGGGAAGAUAAUGACGGUACCGCAAGAAUAAGCCCCGGCUAACUUCGUGCCAGCAGCCGCGGUAAUACGAAGGGGGCUAGCGUUGCUCGGAAUCACUGGGCGUAAAGGGUGCGUAGGCGGGUCUUUAAGUCAGGGGUGAAAUCCUGGAGCUCAACUCCAGAACUGCCUUUGAUACUGAAGAUCUCGAGUUCGGGAGAGGUGAGUGGAACUGCGAGUGUAGAGGUGAAAUUCGUAGAUAUUCGCAAGAACACCAGUGGCGAAGGCGGCUCACUGGCCCGAUACUGACGCUGAGGCACGAAAGCGUGGGGAGCAAACAGGAUUAGAUACCCUGGUAGUCCACGCCGU
RNAcentral lists this ribosomal RNA (752 nucleotides) under uncultured bacterium. RNAcentral's name for it is "bacterial SSU rRNA". It matches the Rfam family "Bacterial small subunit ribosomal RNA", at positions 8 to 803 of the family's 1533-position model. The record is from RNAcentral.